GCCUGGGUGGCUCAGUCGGUUGAGCAUCCGACUUCGGCCCGGGUCAAGAGCUCACGGUCCGUGAGUUCGAGCCCCGCGUCAGGCU
This is a non-coding RNA of Felis catus (domestic cat), 85 nucleotides long. The record is from Rfam. Lineage: Eukaryota; Metazoa; Chordata; Mammalia; Carnivora; Felidae.